GGGGGCGACCUGGCUUCGACGCGGGUUGCGAAACCUGAGGUGCAUGCCGAGGGUGUAGCUGACCUCGUAAAUCCCUGCUGCAAACUUAUAGUUGCCAACGACGACAACUACGCACUCGCCGCUUAAAACCCGGUAGGGUGCCGUCUCACUGACGUGUGCUUGUGCACUCAGGUUCGAGGCGUCGACUCUCACAAGCUCGCGGUGACGUUCUCCCAGGGCCGAUCCGUUAAAACCCAACUGGGAUCGCCGUUCGUUUUCCCUGCCCGUCGGGUAGCGAGCGGUUAAACUCAAAGACGGAAUAAGCAUGUAGAGCCGAAGGCGGAGGACUUGCGGACGGGGGUUCGAUUCCCCCCGCCUCCACCA
RNAcentral lists this transfer-messenger RNA (363 nucleotides) under Acidihalobacter ferrooxydans. It matches the Rfam family "transfer-messenger RNA". From Rfam's summary of the family: Bacterial tmRNA, also known as 10Sa RNA or SsrA, is named for its dual tRNA and mRNA-like properties. Its role is to liberate the mRNA from a stalled ribosome. Lineage: Bacteria; Pseudomonadati; Pseudomonadota; Gammaproteobacteria; Chromatiales; Ectothiorhodospiraceae. The record is from Rfam by way of RNAcentral.